CCUGCUGACAUAAGCGAUUACUAUUUCUUCUCUGCACAAUGAAGGAUGCUGAGGCUCAGAGUUGACAGACAUCAGCUGAGUGAGUGGCAGGUGAAGACCCCAGGACCCACGUCUGUCCAGCUCUUCAUCCUCUUUCUGCCAUAAGCUGCAGACCAAGCAUCAAGCACUCACAGAACUACAAGCAGUGCUGCAAACAUUCGACUAUGUGUCCAUGCGGAACCCAGAGACACCCUCUGUUUGCCUGAAAAUGACUGACAGGAUGGAAACUGACCAGUCAUCACCUGCUUCUGGCACCAUCAGGGACUGGUUAACUCAAAAUGCUGGUCCACAUGGGAGGAUGAACCUGGGUUCCAAGAUCAGCCAAAUGCUCUGGGCUCUGGAUCAGAACUCCAGAACUGGACAGUCAAGCUAGGGAGCAUCUUAGAAAUGAGAGAAUAUGGUAAAGGAUACUUUUGGAAGAAGUGAUGUAUUUUUCCUUUCGUUUCAAGAGAAGAAAUUGAGACCAGAGCAAGUUGUCAAUUCAAUCUGUACUCACGUGUAAAAACGCGCA
Molecule: long non-coding RNA, 550 nt
Organism: Neofelis nebulosa (Clouded leopard)
Lineage: Eukaryota; Metazoa; Chordata; Mammalia; Carnivora; Felidae
Exons: 3
Source: RefSeq, a predicted model, not a curated record